ACAAAUUCGUUGAAGAGAAUCAGUACGCUGCAAGUUUGUUCCACAGAGAGCCGGUGAUAGCUGAAAGCCGGUGUUCAAGCCGCAGGGGAAUAUCCUCUCUGAGAAGUCAAACUGAACCUAUAAGUAAGUUUGAACGGUAGUCUACCGUUAAAAAGAACGCGUAUGAUUGUACGUUGCUGAGUGCUAUUGAUGAACGGAUCAAUAGAAGCCAGGGUGGUACCGCGGUUAAAACCCGUCCCUAGU
Molecule: non-coding RNA, 243 nt
Filed under: Priestia megaterium
Lineage: Bacteria; Bacillati; Bacillota; Bacilli; Caryophanales; Bacillaceae
Description: Bacillus megaterium T-box sequence
Rfam family: T-box leader
About the family: Uncharged tRNA acts as the effector for transcription antitermination of genes in the T-box leader family.
Source: RNAcentral